RNAcentral lists this ribosomal RNA (253 nucleotides) under uncultured archaeon. RNAcentral describes it as "partial 16S ribosomal RNA". It matches the Rfam family "Archaeal small subunit ribosomal RNA", at positions 474 to 727 of the family's 1478-position model. The record is from RNAcentral.
AACCAGCACCUCAAGUGGUCAGGAUGAUUAUUGGGCCUAAAGCAUCCGUAGCCGGCUCUGUAAGUUUUCGGUUAAAUCUGUACGCUCAACGUACAGGCUGCCGGGAAUACUGCAGAGCUAGGGAGUGGGAGAGGUAGACGGUACUCGGUAGGAAGGGGUAAAAUCCUUUGAUCUAUUGAUGACCACCUGUGGCGAAGGCGGUCUACCAGAACACGUCCGACGGUGAGGGAUGAAAGCUGGGGGAGCAAACGGG